AUUGAACGCUGGCGGCAUGCCUUACACAUGCAAGUCGAACGGCAGCACGGGAGCAAUCCUGGUGGCGAGUGGCGAACGGGUGAGUAAUAUAUCGGAACGUGCCCAGUCGUGGGGGAUAACGUAGCGAAAGCUACGCUAAUACCGCAUACGAUCUACGGAUGAAAGCGGGGGAUCGCAAGACCUCGCGCGAUUGGAGCGGCCGAUAUCAGAUUAGCUAGUUGGUGAGGUAAAGGCUCACCAAGGCGACGAUCUGUAGCUGGUCUGAGAGGACGACCAGCCACACUGGAACUGAGACACGGUCCAGACUCCUACGGGAGGCAGCAGUGGGGAAUUUUGGACAAUGGGCGCAAGCCUGAUCCAGCAAUGCCGCGUGCAGGAUGAAGGCCUUCGGGUUGUAAACUGCUUUUGUACAGAACGAAACGGUCCUUUCUAAUACAAGGAGCUAAUGACGGUACUGUAAGAAUAAGCACCGGCUAACUACGUGCCAGCAGCCGCAGUAA
This 500-nucleotide ribosomal RNA is filed under the name uncultured bacterium. RNAcentral's name for it is "partial 16S ribosomal RNA". It matches the Rfam family "Bacterial small subunit ribosomal RNA", at positions 30 to 523 of the family's 1533-position model. The record is from RNAcentral.